CAAAACUCAUAGCUCAAAAGGGUCACAAAAUUUCUUUCAUUUCCACACCUAGAAAUAUCCAUCGUCUACCCAAAGUGCCUGAAAACUUGCAACCUUUGGUGGAUCUGAUAGAACUCCCACUGCCCCGUGUUGACAAACUCCCAGAAAAUGCAGAGGCCACUGUUGACAUUCCUCACCACAUCAUUCCAUACCUCAAGCUGGCUUUUGAUGGUCUUGAACAACCUUUGACCAAGUUUCUGGAGAGAUCCAAACCCCAUUGGAUAAUAUACGACUUUGCACCUUAUUGGUUGCCACCGAUAUCUUCUAAGCUAGGAAUCUCAUGCGUCUCAUUCUGUAUUUUUAGUGCAUCUGGUAUGUAUUCUUUUUCGGAUUUUUUUACAAGAAAAGAAAGUGAGUCCCCGCGGAGCAAAGGUAUUCCCGAAGAGCAUAAUGAAAAUGAUGAAUCGGGGGUUUCAGAUAUGUUUCGAGUCCUUAGAACUUCUAAUGGUGCUCAAGUUAUUGCUUCAAGAAGCUGCAUGGAGAUUGAAGGUGAGCCUCUCAAAUUGUGUGAAAGUAUAUAUAGGAAAACAGUGAUUCCAGUUGGUUUAUUGCCACCUUCAUUACAGUUCAGUGAAGACAGCAAUGAUGAAAACUGGAAUACCAUCCUUAAUUGGUUAGACAAACAGGAAAAAGGGUCAGUGAUUUAUGUAGCUUUUGGAUCUGAAGUGACACUAAGUGAUGAGGACUUCACUGAAAUUACUAUGGGAAUAGAAAUGUCUGGUUUUCCUUUUUUUUGGGUUCUGAAGAAGCAAAACACCUCUAGCGUUGAGUUGCAGGAUGUGGUUGUGAAUAACUCAGGAAAGGGUAUGGUGUGGACAACAUGGGCCCCACAGAUGAGGAUUUUAUCACACAAGUCUAUUGGGGGGUUCCUGACUCACUGUGGUUGGAGUUCAGUGAUUGAGAGUCUUCAAAUUGGGUGUCCACUUGUUAUGUUGCCCUUCCAAAAUGAACAAUUUAUAGUUGCUAGGCUUAUGGAGGAGAAAAAGGUAGGGUUCAAAGUAGAGAGAAAUGAGCAUCAUGGGAAGUUCACAAGGGAAUCAUUGGCCAUAGCAUUGAGAUCAGUGAUGUUGGAAGAAACUUAUAGAAGUGAAGCACAGGAGAUGAGUAAGAUAUUUGGGGACAAAGAACUGCACCAAAAAUACAUUGAUCACUUUGUUGAUUACAUGGAAAUCCAUAGGCCUACCAUGAAAGAUUAGUUUUCUGCCAUGAAGGAUUAUUUGUAAUUGAAGCAUAAGUUUUAACGUUGUUUGUUAUUGGUUGUGUUGAUUAGUGGUGCAUUUGUGAUGUCUAGAAAUGUUUGAGUUUCCCUUUUGAAACAAAAAAUUUAAAUCGAUUGAAAGAUUAUCCUCUGAGAAUGAACUGGAAUACCUUGUUCUAUUUUGAAGAUUGAACUGAAAAAGAUAGGCAUCCAAUCCGUGGAAUACAUAGACGUGAAGUUGUUUUGUGAUAAACACACAUAUGCAUCUCCAAAUGAUUCACAAUCAGUAAUAAAAGCAACUUUGAACAAAUGGAAAUAAUAAUAUAUCUUAACACAUCAAAAUAUUAGUUUCCUAACCAAAUCAAAGCAAAGAAACCAAGCAAGUAAGGCUUUUCCAUUCCACCACUUUGAAUAUAUGCAAAUAGCUAAUCCUAUGAACAGCAAUAGCCAGUUUCAAUAAAGGUAAAAAACAAAGAUAUGCACAUUUUUUAAGUCUGGUAUGAGGUGUUAGCUGAGAUUUCAAUGUCGCAUUCAAUAGUGUAUAUAUCUGACAAGAAAUGUCCUUUUGCUUUAUCUUCAGAUUUUUCAGCCCACUUGCAAUGGUUUAGUUUGGAUUAUGAUAGCCACAUUCAUUGUUGUAUCACAUUAGACCACAUGUUGCUAGUUCUAUUUGUCAGAUAUCUUGAUUGUGAAAUUUUACACUAUUUUUCUUUGCUCAUAUUGUUUAUUGUUUGUCCUUUCACAGGUGGGGACUUGUGUUGAAAGUGGAGCAAUGUGUUGUGUGCAGUAGUAGCAAACUUUUCAGACGAGUACCUCCGCCACAGUUAUAUGCCCAUAUGCACAUUUAUUAACAAGUCUACCAAUAUUACAUCAGUUUGUAAAGCUGAUCUUUUACCUACCUUAACUACUAAACACUAUCCAAAAUCUUAUAAACUUCAAUGGAUUAAAAAUGAUGGUACGUAGUAUACCUAUCUCCCUAGAAAACUAUCAAGAUAAACAAAUUUUAUGUGAUAUAGUUUCUAUAGCACACAAUAUAUCUUACUUGGUAGGUCAGGAUAAUAUAAUCAUAAAAUUAUUGAGGAUGACUUUACCAAUAAAAUAAGUUUCACUUAUCAAUAAUGUAGUGGUGGAUCCUGUUGAAAUUUUUGUUUUGGCCCAAGUAAAGGCGUGGGCAUGGGUAAGUUAUAAAUUUUUAAAGUCAAAUUUUUCUUAUUCUGAUUGGUGUAUUAAUGUAUAUGAAUGUUUAAAAUCACUACAUUGAUGAUUAAUACCCUUUCUUUGCUUUUGGUUGGAUUCUUGGUUUGCAUGAGAGGAAUGCCUUGGGGUACAACUAUAAUCAUAAUGGAUGCUUGGAAAAUGCAGUAGAUAGCAAGGAGGCAAAGUCUUUCUUUUGAGCUGAUACGCUUAUAGUCUGGAACUGGACUAAGUUACAUGAUUCUUUGAUAGCUAAUUUGGUUUAUGUAUUGACAUCUUGUUGUUUUUAAAGAGGUUAAGAUUAGCAGAUAUAUGUGUAGAAUAUGUCUAUGUUUAGGCAUGUUAUCUAGAAACCUCAUUUCUCUAGCAUAAGAAAUUUUGUACAUGGGUUGGAGUACCCCUAGUACUUCUAUUUAUUAAAUCUUUAUUGGUGAUUAAAAAAAAAAAUCAAGGGAGAAUUUUUUCUCCUAUCACACUCAACAAGUGAGGGAUGAUAAAUUAGAAAUGAAAAAAAAGGUUUAAGAAGAAAAGAAAAAGAAAAGGAGAAGCUAGAGAAAGUUAGAAAGGAAAGAAGAGUUAAUCAAAUAAAACUCUAAAGAAACAAAUACAAGAGAAAUUCUUAAGAGGACAUGUAUGUUCUUAAACUCUUGUUCUAAAAGAGGUAAUAAUUCUAAAUUGUCUUCUAAAAAAAUCUACAAAGAAAAUAACUUUUUCUUAUUGUUGCAUAGUAGAUGACAAAAACAAAGUGAAGAAAAUAUAUUUCCAAAAGGAGUGAUCCUUAUUUUUUCACUUUUUUCCUUUAGAUACACUUGUCUUUUCAUAAAAAAACUUAUUCAACUUUUGUUUGUUAUUUGAGUCUGAAAAAAUAAAAAUAAAAAUAAAUUAAGAAUAAAUAAAAAUAAAUCAUUUUCAAGAUAAAGGGUGUAUGAUGAAAACCAUUUAACCACAUCAAUAUAGGCUAAAAGGAUAGAAGAAGAUAAAACCCUAUACUUCAAGUGUAGAAUAGUAGAAUUUUCUUCCUCAUAGGGACUAAACUCCACCUCCUCCUUGACUAUCACCUCAUGGUGGUUCAACCUUUAUACAUACCUAAAAAAAAAGAUGUAUCAUACUUUAGUCCAUCUUCUCCCUUAUACUCUUUCUCCCCUCUAGCCCAAAGAUGAACAUUUCAAACUCAUGGUGAGGAGUAGAAGAUUCAAACAUUGGGAAGUUCCUCAUUAUAUUGGUUGUUUCCACUUGUUGAGGAAUUACCUCUUAAAGAAAGGUGUUGCGUUUUAGUAGCUAACACUGACUCCAUAACUUGUGAGUGGUCUUUGUUCUUGCUAUCUCGCAAACCAUAACCUGAAUCUGUUUAGGUUUUUAAGCUGCUAAUAUAAAACUGUGAUUUCAUAGGAUCUACAGCACUUACAAAUAGAAGUGGGCUUUGCCAUUGUAGAUGCAAACAAUAAGGCGCAAAACAAACGUAUUAGAGAAAGAAAACUCCAAGAAGCCCUUAUAAAUACUACAAUGGUUUAAUGGUACAACUUAAAUGAGUUUUAUCUUUUCAUUUUUUUUUACCUAUAAGUUUUUAAAGAAGUUUAUAUGGUCAUGAUCAAAGUUUACAUAAAGAUUUUGUGAUCUGCUUUAUUCUUAUUCGACUUGAACAAGUUAUCUUAAAAAAUGUCAUAUUAAAAAAAUGAAAAGAUUUGACUAGAGCAUCAUCAUUACAAGAAAUUUGUUUUUAAUGAAGAUUAUUUAGAAUAAGUUAAUAUAAUUUUAAGAAUUAAUUUAGUUAACGGAUUCUUUUUAACCUUCAAAAAGAUUUAUUCUAAAAUCUCAGUAAAAUAACAAGAUUGUUUUAACUUUCAUUAAAUUCUAAAUGUUCAUUUUAAAACCUCAACAUAAUAACAGAGAUUUUUUUAACUUUAAUUAAAUUUCAAAGGUUUAUUAUAAAACCUCAGUAAAAUAAUUAAGGUUUUUUUAACUUUUAUUAAGUCCCAAAGAUUUAUUGUAAAAACCUCAACAAAAUAACGGUGAUUUUGUUAACCUUUAUUAAAUUCUAAAAGUUUAUUCCAAAUCUCAACAUCAACAAAAUAACUGAGGGUUAACCUUCGUUAAAUUUCUAAGAUUUAUUUUAAAAUUUUAGCAAAAAAGUUGAGUUUUUUUAAUCUUCAUUAAGUUAGAAAGAUUUAUUUUAAAAUUUUAGUAAAAUAAUAGAGAUUUUUUUAAUCUCCGCUAAAUUUCAAAAAUUUAUUCUUGUGAGAGUAAUGAUUUCAUGGUGAUGUAUAAUUUAUAUAUGCUUUAUCUGUUUAUUUAAUUUAUGCAUACUUUAUCAAAAUUUCAAAUUUUUUCGUAGAUUAGAGCUAUUAGUGAUUUUGUUUUUCAUUUUCAUUUUUAGUUCUUAAAUUAUUAUUAGAUCAAUAGAAAUUUUCUUUAAAAUUAGGUUUCCUUAUCAUCUUCUCGUACGAUGUAAAAUCGGAGCUGAAGCGAUUCCCGUGGGCUAUAGUCAGGCUUCACGCACGUGAUCUCGUCUUCAAUUAUGAAAGAUGCAGGAGUUAGAUUCGAAACUUAAAUUUGAAGUUUGAAAAACAGAAAAGUUGAUUUCUCAAGAUAAUCUUCUUGUUCUUCUAAGCUAAAUUUGAUUAACUGAGUUUCUGGUGAAGCAGAGUAUUACGAAGUGGACUUUAAGCCUAACUCAACCCCAUAAAAUCGGCUCAUAGGGUUGAGGUUUGCACCCACUUAUAUACAAUGAUGGGAUCUCCAACACAUCCCCUCACGCCGAGAGUGAUAGAUAGAAACUCGUGCGUGGGACUAUAUAUUAUGGGUGGUCCGAUAGCGGCCCGAUAGCAGAUGGCCUGAUAAGUCCAACAAAUACUCGCUAGGAUAGGCUCGAAAUGGCUCUGAUACCAUAUUACGAGGUGGACUUUAAGCCUAACUCAACCCCAUAAAACCGGCUCAUAGGAUUGAGGUUUGCACCCACUUAUAUACAAUGAAAGGCUCUAAUCUCUAGUCGAGUAUCUCCAACACAGCUACUGUUUUCCUUGUUCUAAAUUUGUUAUUUGGUGAAAAAUUAAAUGUGAUUGUGUAUCUGUUUUGAGCUUUGAAAGAAGUGCAGAAAAGGUGUUUGGUAAAAUUAAAAAGUGGAAGUUGGGUUCAAUUGGUUCUAGGAUAAUGGUUCAGAUAUAGAGUCUUUGAUUUUCUUGUGCAGCAGGUAUCCGCACGAUAAUGUUUCCAAACAAAAUGAAGACGCUUCGGUUUAGAGAAGUUACUUCCUCAAAUCAAAUCAUCUUCAUUCAUAAUGUUCUACUCUAUGUUACUGUUCUUUAUUCCUAUAUAUGUUUUCAUUGCUGACAAAAAAAAAAUCAUAUAUAUGUUGCUGAUAUUGUUUAUUAUAUUAUAUAUGGAGAGCUUGCGUCAUGGUUUAGGCUCAAAUAUCCUUAUAUGGCCAUUGGUUCUCUUGCCUCAUCGGCUCCGAUUCUCUACUUUUAUGAUGUUAUACCACAAGAUGGUUACUACUCUAUUGUUUCAAGGGAUUUUUAGAGUAAUUUAUCAUAUUUUUAUUUUUAUUUUUUCUUUAUUUGUUUAAUUCUAUCAUCAAGUAUAUGAGAAAAAAAAGGUGAUUUUGUGAAGGAAAACAACCUAAACAGGCACAUUUAUAUAAGCUGUAAAAGCAGUCAACAAAAUUGGUUUUUACGGGUUGUUUUUCAAAGUAAAAAGAAUGUGUUUAGAGAGAAUACUGACACACAAAGCCCUCAAACAGAAUGCACAGAACCAGUACAUGCAUAUUUGACUAGUCAUUAAAUUUCUUAAAUUUUCAAGAAGAUACGGAAUAUAUUCCUAUUUAUGAUGAAAGUUACUCCCGACCAGAUCGUAUUCAAAGCGAUAAUAAAAUAAAUUUGGACUCAUAACAAUUUUGAGGAGGAAUUAGCAACAGAAACAAUGCACGAAGAUUUAAAACAUCUUCAAUGAAAUGCUGUGAGGGAUGAAACAAUCAGUUGUUUUAUGAAAAAAAUCGGUUGUUCACUAGUAGAAAAUAUGCAAUUAACGACACCAUACAAAGACGAUUCUUAAAGAAAAGUCUUUAUAAGAGAGAAGGUGGCAGUUUCUGUAAAUAUUUUCAAAUUCUUAAUGGUCUUAACGACGGUUCAAGCAGAAACCGUCGUUAACCGUGUAAGACUGUGGAUAUAAAGAUGGUUCUAUACAUAACCGUCGUUAUUUGGCUGUUCAGGAAAAAAAAGCGCGCUCCUUUCCCUCACUCUUCAUUCUCUCAUUUUCGCACAACAUUCUCUCCUCACCAACAACCACUGCUAGUUGCGCCGCCUACUCCGAUUGUGUCACCAUGAGCAGCUGCCGCGAGCUUCAUCCCAGCUCCCAUCGCAAGCUCCAAUCCAACUCUCGUUGCGACUCUCCCUUGCUCCGUCAGCCUCCUCUGCCGCACCAGCCACCACAACCGCUAUGAAUCAAGUUCGGUCAGCUUCUGCAUCCGCGCGAGCCUCAUGCGUGUCGCACCGACCAGCUUCCUUCGCUGCACUAGCUCUCGCCACCACGUCCCACUCCUACUACCGCCACCAAGCAGGUUAGUUUUUAUUUAUUUAUUUAAUUAUUUUUAUAAUAAAUAUUUUGCAUUAUAUUUAUAUUAGUUAGUACUAUAAUUUACUUAAUUAAAUUUAUAAUAAAUAUUUUCAUUUAUAUUUAUAUUUAUAGUAGUUCGUAUUCUAUUUUAUUUAAUUAAUUUUAUAAUAAAUAUUUGCAUGUAUGUGUUGAUUAGUAAUUAUUAGUAUAUGUAUGUAUUCAACACGUUGAUUCUGAGUCCGGGGCUGUCUGACUCUUGACAUGUUUGAUUUAGUUAUAGGAUUGUAUUUAUUGAACAUGUUGAUUCUGAGUCCAAGGGUGUCCGACCCUUGACAUAUUUGAUUUAAUUAUAGUAUGUUAUUUAUUUAAGACGUUGAUUCUGAGUCCGAGGGUGUCCGACCCUCAAGAAUUUUAAUUUAAUUAUAGAAUUUGUAUAUAUUGAACAAGUUGAUUCUGAGUCUGGGGUGUCCGUCCCUUGGCAAUUUUGAUUUAGAUUUUUUCAAUUUACCAGUUUUAUGGAUCGGAGUUGGAUUAGUACAUUAAGGAUAAGUGAUGCUUACGAAAAAGGGGUUGAAGAAUUCUUACAGUUUACACAACAUAUUGUCGUUAGUAAUCAAUACGAGCUGGACACUCAUGCUUCUGAGUUGGAAGGGUGUUAACUUCGGUGGGAAUGAAUGACGUAUAUUUUCUUGCUUUUGCACAAACCAACAUGAAGUAUCUUAAUUCUUUGUCUUUUCCUCUCUUUGAACUUCUUUUUCUAAUUCCAAAACCUUUUCUAAUGGCAUAUUCUUUGUAGAAAGUUUUAACAACAUCGACAUUGUUAAAUGACAUGCCAACUGUAGGAACUAAUUCACUAACAUCAACAGCUAUGUUAUCAAAUUCUUGCGAAGGCUGACCGUCUUCAAACAAAGAAAUCUCAUCAGGAGAAAUAUUAUCCAUAUCUAUCCAGAGCUACAUUAUAUACAAAUUUGAUAUUGCAAAUUAAGACAUGUUAUUUGUUAACAAAUAUGUCCAAAUUUUUCUCAAAACUAGGGUUUUUUUGUAACUUUGGAACUAAAAUAUGUAAUAAGAUCCCACGAUAAUUGGUGCAAAAAAAUAACAUAUCUAAGAGGUUUAACACAACUCAUAUGCAACCAUAGUUGAUACUGUCAUCACAUUUUACAGAUUAUUUUAAACAAACACAUUGUGCAAAAUUAUAGUUUUUGGAAGAAUGACAAGUAGGGUUUUUUUUUUUUGCUCUACAAGUGAAAUGUCCAAAUAUUCCAUGAUUUGGCAUACAAAAUGAAUGUACAUGCAUGAACUCCAACCAAACAAUGAAAACUUUAAUUAAAAUGCACUAACAUUGUGUAUAUAAGUCUAAUAAAUACAUCUUCAAAAUCAUAACAAAUGCAUGUGUAUUAAAUAUGUGCAAAACCUGUGGGUCCCACACUCAUUGGAAUACAUGGAAUGAAGGAAGUGGAUAGAGACUGAAUAUAUUAAAAGUUGUGGGUUCCACCUUGAAUAAGAGUGCAAAAAAAAUAAAUUUUUGAUGCUGGAAAAUGCAAAAUGUUGGUGGUGGAAGAUGAGAAUGAAAAGUGGAUGGUGUUUUGUGCAAUAAAGGCACGAAAAUGGUGGUACUAAUGGGAAAGGAGUAGCAUUAAUGCAACUCAACCACCACUGUGCUAAAGUGAUUAUUGUGGCAGGAACUAAUAAAGACCUCGAUAAUGCUGUCAUAAUCUACCUAAAAACUAGUUCAAAUAAAUGUUAUACAUAUGUCAAAUUCAAGAGUGCACUAGUGUCAUUUGGAUGGUUCUUUCUUAGAGAAAGAAGAAACCAUUGCUAAACCACUAUAGUGUAUCUUUUGAAACAUAAAAACAAUAUUUAGUCAUACUUUAGCUUUGCCAUCUUCACUAGCAGUUUGAAUGGAGCAAUGGGAAAACCUUGACAUUGAUACCAAUGACCUUGCAAGCUUUGUGCGUCGUUGUAACACCGACACAAGUUUCAUUACGGGCCCAUCCGGUAAUGUGCAAACAAUUAUCCUUAAUCGAAACUCCAAAGAUGCAGUCAACACACAACAAUUUAUAAACAAUAUAGCUGACGAAAGUCAUAGGCAUGACAUGGAAUUGGGCACAACAUCUUCUUCACUUUCAUGAUAAUGUUUAUGACAAUCAUUUACACUUUAACAGUUAUUCGUGUGCAAAAAGUAAUUUUUUUAAGGCCCAAGUUGAUGGACAUGAUUGUGAGCAAAUAUUAUUUUUGGUUAACAUUAAGCCACAUUUUGUUUGCCAUUGCUUACUUGUCUUGUCAAAGAAUGCCAACCAAAUGGUUUAAGAGAUAUGUUAAUAAUUAUUAAGGUAAUAUAUGGCUUAUGUACUCUUUUGAUCCUUUCAGUUUAUGCAACACAAAAAUGACUAUUAUACACCUCUUUAGUACAGGAUCCAAUAGGAAUAGUUAGAGAAAGUGUACACGAAAAGGUGUUAAAAGAUCCGAAAUUUGGAUCACAAAUUGCAGUAGGAUCAGUUUUAGUGCUAAGAAUGUAUUUAUCUUCCAUAAAACUCUUUUCAAAUAAGUCCAUAUCAUAUUUCAUGAAAGCAUUAAUGCUCUUAUAGGUAGCCAUAUUUAUCCGAAUAAAAGAGCAUUCUAUCUUAAUAUAACCAUAAUUAACAUUGUUAAGGUAUGUGGCUUUCAUUAUAACUUUAGUAAAAAAAGUGUUCCUUUCGUUACAAUAUUCAUGCCUAUAGGUUUAAAAAUUUGACAUAUGUCCACAAUCUGAUUCAUGCUUAUAGGUUUUCAAAUUUGACAUAUGUCCACCAUUUGAAGAGGAAGUUCGUUGUUGUCAUCCAAUAAUACGCGUUCCACUGACUCUAGGUACAGUUCCAAAAAUUUUCUAUACUUUAAAAACAAUGUCCUAUAUGCAAUAUUGUAAUUCACAUUUCAAUAUUCAAAAUAUAUUCAGAUGCAAAGCAAUUGGAGUUAUUAAAUAAGAUGGAGGAAGACAGAAUCUGUGGUUCAAGGAUGGUUUAAAUUCCCACAUCUUACAAACAUGCCUAUAUGCACUAUGAAGACUAUUAUUGUAUAAUUGAGAAUACAAAAUUGUAUUUAUAAUUCAUAAGAACAUGUCUGAACAAUGCUUAUUACAUGUGUUAAUUGAAUUUUUUGGUUACUUGUCCUUCUUAAUUUGUAUGAACUUAGUUUAUAUGAACUUAGUUUAUGUGUAUUAACACUACCAUACAUUCAAAUUUAAAAAAUAUGUUCACUUCAACCACAUAAAUGGAAGACAAUUAAAAUUAAAAAAACACUUGAAAAAGUCCAACAAAUUUACAAUUAGUAAAAUUAGAACGUAGUUGCUAAAUACAUGUCUUAAAUUCUUUAACCACAUUACACCUAAUGAAAUAAACAUGUGUCAUUCCUAACAAGUACUUCGUAAUAAACAUACUUUAGUACUAAACACGUCAUGUACGAUCCCUUUCAAUUAUGACUAACAAAACCAUUUUUUCCCCUUGCAUACCUAGUCCGUGGUGUUUUCAUGACAACCGACUUCACACGUUUCCUUGCUUUAUGCUUGACUCGGGUGAAAAUGUUACUCUUUUCUUCCUACCCAUCUUGUUCUUCGUGUACGUCUUGUUCUUCAGGUACGUCUUGCUCUUCGGGUACGUCUUUAUCAUCAACGUAAGACGUCUGCAAAUGUUCUUCAUCAUCUGCAGAAGGACUAUCACGCACAUAAGAUUUUACGCGUGCAGUUAAAAAUUCUUGUAACUCUUUCAACUCCUUCUCCAAAUUGCUGAUGACAACCUUUUGUUCCUACACUUGGUGAAGCAUAUCAACUACUUUCACCUUCAUUUUACCAUAGUCCUUUUUUAUGACAUGUCGAUUGUAAAUCCACGUCCAACUACCUCAAAUGCUUGUACAACUAAUUCAUUUUGCAUAUCUUCAUUGGACGCAGUUUAGUCCACAAUAACCUGUUCAUGCACACAACAAAUACCAACAUAAAUGAAAAAAAAAACUAAGUAUUGUACAUUAAAUAAAAAAUUUCGAUGUAUUCAACACACCACAUUCUGUUGCAGUCCAGAUGCAAUUUCAAUGUCACCCAACCUAACAUUCGUCCAAUGUGUGAUACGAGGAUAUCUAUUUCCAAUCCUUGACAUUUGCCACUUGUAAGAGAACAAAUGUUCAAGAGCCCAUAUCUACACAAUUCAUAUCAAAUUAAUGUCAGUAACCACAAAAUGUAUGGGAAGUCAUUACAGAUACAAAGUAAACAUUUUAAAUUACCUGCAUCAAGUAGACACAACCACGAAGCCUUUCUUCCAUGAAGGAUUAUUUGUAAAGGUUGGUAGGAAUGAGGUAGAGUUGUGUAUACUCCAGUUCGCUAAUGACACUCUCUUUCUUUGUGAAGAGUCUUUUAGUAAUGUGGUUACCAUGAAGGCUAUUCUCAUGGGUUUUGAACUAGCUUCAAGCCUGAAGAUUAACUUUCAUAAAUCAAAGCUAGCAGGCAUAAAUGUUGAUAGAAAUGCCCUUGUGUGUUAUACAAAUACUCUAAAUUGUACACAGAUGGAGUACCUUUCAAGUAUCUGGGACUAGAAAUGGGUGGAAACCCAAGGAAGAAACAUUUUUCGGAGCCUAUCUUAAGCAAAUUAAGUGCUAGACUCAGUGUGUGGAAAGGGAUACUUUUUUUUUAUGGCAGGGAGGAUAAGCUUAAUUAAGUUUGUUAUCACAACCCUACCCUUUUUCUACUUAUCACUUUUCAAAGCACCGGAGUUAGUCUGGAAAAGCAUCAUUAGUAUCCAAAUGAGGUUUUUAUGGGGUUAGGGGACGGAGAGCAUACCGAUCUCAUUGGUAGGCUGGGAGAACCUGUAUAAACCUAAAGAGGAGGGUGGGCUGAGAUUUAAAGAUAUUCGAAAGUUUAACUGUGCUCUCCUGGCUAAAUGAAGAUGGCGUCUUCUGACUAAAGAGAAAAGGAUGUGGAAAGAUUUGUUGGUUUCAAAGUGUGGCUCAGAUUUAGGUAAUACUCAAACACAUGUGAAAUUCCAGUCCUGGUGGUGGAGAGAUUUGUCUAAAGUUUGUAGGGAGGGAGGAAGAGCAUGUUGGUUUCAAGAAGCUUUAGGAUGGAAAAUAGGAGAUGGAGAUAAAGCUAGAUUCUGGGAGGAUGUGUGGGUUGGCAACCUUAACCUCAAAACUUUGUUCCCGAGGAUGUACUCGCUAUCUUUAAAUCAGGGACAAAAGGUGGAAGAGGUAGGUGUGUGGGAAGAAUCAGUAUAAAGGUGGAGCUUAAGAUGGAGGCGUGUUGAGUGGGAAUCCAUGAUGUAGGCAGAACUAUUAACGUAUAUCUAGGGGCUCCAUGAAUAGGGAAGAAAUGGAUCUCCAUGUGUGGGGGAGUGAAGAAUCAGGGUUGGUCUUUGUGAAUUCAGCAUAUGAAUGCUUAGCUAAGCAUGCCAAAGGUCUUCAACAUGACCACUUCAAAUGCUUGUGGAAGGUUAAAGUGCUUCCCAAAGUAAUCACCAUAGCGUGGAGGGUCUUUUUGGAUAGAAUCCCAACUAGAAUGUGCUUGAGUAGGACAGGGAUGGUGGUGAACAUUACUAUAUGUGCAAUGUGUCAGGCUAUGGAUGAAUCAAAUCAACAUCUAUUUUUAUAAUGCAAAUAUGCACAAUGUGUAUGGUCUUUUUGCUUCUUAUGGAUUGGUGUCUUGUUUGUUCAACACAAUGAAUUAAAUACCCACUUUGAGAACUUUCACCUGGUUCAGGCUAGUAGUAAACAAAAUUUGGUAUGGAAAGGUUUGUGGGCAGCUAUAGUGAGAUGUAUGUGGGAACAACGAAAUUAUGUUAUCUUUAAACAAGGGGUAGUAAUAGAUGCGGAAGAGAUAUUUCAGAUGGCACAACUAAAAUCGUAGUUAUGGAUGAAACACCUUCCAGUACGACUACCUUAUUACGAUUUCACUCCAGUCACUAGCACUCUUUCAACUACUCCUUCAUGGAUUGGGUUUUGAAUCCUCUUGAAUGCAUUAUAAGUUAUAAAUAAAUGAGAAAGGUUAGAGGAAGGUGAUCUAGGAGUUAGAUGUGUCAAUGGGAUGCCAUAGUAGUUGAAGGCCCUGCUGGUCGACUUUUUGUCUCUAGGCAUAAGGUCUUAUGAUCAAGACAAGGAGAUUCGUAUAAAUGAGGGAGUAAAAAAGUAAGGGUACUGGAAUUGUGUAGGAACUAGAAAAUAAAAGAUGUUGGAGGUGGGGCAGGGGCAACAUGUUGCAAUAUGUGGUGCAUGGUAUGUUCCUCAAGGGCACUCCCAAAUAUUCACUGGUUUGGUCAAAUGAGCAAUUUUGUCAUUAUCAAGGUUUUUAGUUCUCUCGUGGAAGUGAAGCUUGUGCAAACAUAUCAGAAAUUGUGAUUGUGAGAAGCAGCACACAACAGAUGCUCACUUCAUGAGAAUAAGUUGCUAAUUGUUGUGGAUAUGGACGAAAGCCUAACUGGUGCUGUCAAUGUAGCCUUGUAGUGGAAAGAAAACUAAACAGAACCAGGUCUAGUAAGGGAGAGGACUUUAAAAUUAUUGUCCAACAGUAAGGAGGAUACUAUAAAGCAUUGCAAAGGGACUUUUGAGUUGUUGUGGUCUUUCCUGCACAAGCCUACAUGGAGGUAUGGCAAAAGGGUGUAUGGCUGCUAUUAUGCAGGGGAUGCUAGCCCAAUUUUGCAGAUGCAAAUUCAGUGCAGGCCAUUGUGAUGCAGGGGAUGCUGGCCCAAUUAUGCAGGUGUAGAUUUGGUGCAUGCCAUUGUGAUGUAGUGUUAUGGGUUUGUGCUGAUUCGGUAUGUUUAUUUCUCCUGGUUUUGGUUAUGUGAUAGCUGUUGUAGAUGGUUUUGUAUUACAAAAAUUUUGGAGUAGUUGAAGCGUAUGGAUAGAGUUAUAUGGAUGGAUUUUAGGAUUGUUUUAUUAUGUUCUAAGCCUAUAGGUGGUGUGAAGCACUUGUUUUUUAUAUAUUGGUUGGAAUAUUAGUGAAGUAUUUUUUUUUAUUUUUUGUUGAUGAAAAAAACAUAAUACUUAUUUCUAAUGAUUGUAUAAAUAUUAAAGAAUGAAAUUAAUAUUUUAAAUUUUAUAAUAUCAAGUUUACAAUAUACUAGUUUUUUAUCUCUUUUAUUGAUUACUCACUUCUACUAGAGAGUGUACUCUUCUUAACAAGUAUAUUCAUUAAGAGUAGUACUAAGAAAAUGUGACAUUGACUAUUAAAACCUAAAUAAUUUAGAAUUUCUUUUUGUCUAAAACGUCAGUUAAAGGAGACUGAUUUAACUUUUUACUAAUUUAUUUAUUAUGAAAGUUGCAUUUUUGGCAAAAUUAGAAUGGAGGACUUGUAGGUAAGGGGGUCCCAUAUGGUGGAUUUCAAGGAACAUGUGUGACUAAUGAAGCUAUUACCUUCAAUUGUGGUUCACAAGUUGGCACUAAUAAUGUGUGAAACUGGACAAGAGAGACACUAAUCAAAAGGAAAAAGAUAAUCAUGAAAAAAUAAAUAACCAUUCAUCAUAACCCAUUAUAAAGAAGCCAGACACAUUCAUCCUUAAACACAAAGCAUUCCAUGGCGGAACAGCGUGAGAAGCUUCACAUUGUGGUGUUUCCUUGGCUAGCAUUUGGUCACAUACUCCCAUUUUUUGAGCUUGCAAAACUCAUAGCUCAAAAGGGUCACAAAAUUUCUUUCAUUUCCACGCCUAGAAAUAUCCAUCGUCUACCCAAAGUGCCUGAAAACUUGCAACCUUUGGUGGAUCUCAUAGAACUCCCACUGCCCCGUGUUGACAAACUCCCAGAAAAUGCAGAGGCCACAGUGGACAUUCCUUACCACAUCAUUCCAUACCUCAAGCUUGCUUUUGAUGGUCUUGAACAACCUUUGACCAAGUUUCUGGAGAGAUGCAAACCCCAUUGGAUAAUAUACGACUUUGCACCCUAUUGGUUGCCACCAAUAUCUUCCAAGCUAGGAAUCUCAUGCGUCUCAUUCAAUAUUUUUAGUGCAUCAUGUAUGUAUUAUUUUUCGGAUAUUUUUACAAGAAAAGAAAGUGAGUCCUCGCGGAAAUAUAUUCCUGAAGAGCAUAAUGAGAAUAAUGAAUCGGGGGUUUCAGAUGUGUUUCGGGUGCUUACAACUUUUAAUGGUGCUCAAUUUAUUGCUUCAAGAAGCUGCAUGGAGAUUGAAGGUGAGCCUCUCAAAUUGUGUGAAAGUAUAUAUAGGAAAACAGUGAUUCCAGUUGGGUUAUUGCCACCUUCAUUACAGUUCAGUGAAGACAGCAAUGAUGAAAACUGGAACACCAUCCUUAAUUGGUUAGACAAACAGGAAAAAGGGUCAGUGAUUUAUGUAGCUUUUGGAUCUGAAGUCACACUAAGUGAUGAAGACUUCACUGAAAUUACUAUGGGAAUAGAAAUGUCUGGUUUUCCUUUUUUUUGGGUUCUGAAGAAGCAAAACACCUCUAGUGUUGAGUUGCAGGAUGUGGUUGUGAAUAACUCAGGAAAGGGUAUGGUGUGGACAACAUGGGCCCCACAGGUGAGGAUUUUAUCACACAAGUCUAUUGGGGGGUUCCUCACUCACUGUGGUUGGAGUUCAGUUAUUGAGAGUCUUCAAAUUGGGUGUCCGCUUGUUAUGUUGCCCUUCCAAAGUGAUCAAUUUAUAAAUGCUGGGUUUAUGGAGGAGAAAAGGGUAGGGGUCAAAGUACAGAGAAAUAAGCACUGUGGGAAGUUCACAAGGGAAUCAUUGGCCAUAGCAUUGAGAUCAGUGAUGUUGGAAAAAACUUAUAGAAGUGAAGCACAGAAGAUGAGUAAGAUAUUUGGGGACAAAGAACUGCACCAAAAAUACAUUGAUCACUUUGUUGAUUACAUGGAAAACCAUAGGCCUACCAUGAAAGAUUAGUUUUCUGCCAUGAAGGAUUAUUUGUAAUUGAUGCAUAAGUUUUAACGUUGUUUGUUAUUGGUUGAGUUGAUUGAUGUCUAGAAAUGUUUGAGUUUCCCUUUUGAAACAAAAAAUUUAAAUGGAUUGAAAGAUUAUCCUCUUAGAAAGAACUGGAAUACCUUGUUCUAUUUUGAAGAUUGAACUCAGAAAGAUAUGCAUCCAAUCCGUGGAAUACAUAGACGUGAAGUUGUUUUGUGAUAAACACACAUAUGCAUCUCCAAAUGAUUCACAAUCAGUAAUAAAAGCAACUUUGAAGAAAUGGAAAUAAUAAUAUAUCUUAACACAUCAAAAUAUUAGUUUCCUAACCAAAUCAAAGCAAAGAAACCAAGCAAGUAAGGCUUUCCCAUUCCACCACUUUGAAUAUAUGCAAACAGCAAUAGCCAGUUUCAAUCAAGGUAAAAAACAAAGAUAUGCACAUUUUUUAAGUCUGGUAUGAGGUGUUAGCUGAGACUUCAAUGUCGCAUUCAAUAGUCUAUAUAUUAAGAAAUGCCCUUUUGCUUUAUCUUCAGAUUUUUCAGCCCACUUGCAAUGGUUUAGUUUGGAUUAUGAUACUCACAUUUAUUGUUGUAUCACAUUAGACCACAUGUUGCUAGUUCUAUUUGUCAGAUAUUUGUGAAAUUUUACAGUAUUUUUCUUGGCUCAUAUUGUUUAUUGUUUGUCUUUUCACAGGUGGGUACUUGUGUUGAAAGUGGAGCAAUGUGUUGUGUGCAGUAGUAGAAAACUUUUCAGACGAGUACCUCCGCCACAGUGAUAUGCCCAUAUGCACAUUUAUUAACAGUGUACCAUAUAACAUCAGUAUUUGUUGUAAAAGCUCAUCUUUUACCUACCCUUAACUACUAAACACCAUCCAAAAUCUUAUAAACUUCAAUGGAUUAAAGAUGAUGAUACAUAGUAUACCUAUCUCCCUAUAAAACUAUCAAGAUAAACAAAUUUUAUGUGAUAUAGUUCCUAUAGGCACACAAUAUCUUCCUUGGUAGGUCAUGAUAAUAUAUAAUCAUAAAAGUAUUGAGAAUGAGUUUCCCAAUAAAAUAAGUUUCACUUAUCAAGGAAGAAAAAUAUUUGUUUCUCCUAUCACACUCAACAAAUGAGGGAUGAUAAAUUAAAAAUGAAAAAAAAAGUUUUAAGAGGAAAAGAAAAAGAAAAGGAGAAGAUAGAGAAAGUUAGAAAGGAAAGAAGAGUUAAUCAAACAAAACUCUAAAGAAACAAAUACAAGAGAAACUCUUAAGAGGACAUGUAUAUUCUUGAACUCUUGUUCUAAAAGAGGUAAUAAUUCUAAAUUGUCUUCUAAAAAAAUCUAUAAAGAAAAUCACUUUCUCUUAUUGUUGCCUAGUACAUGACAAAAACAAAAUGAAGGAUUUCUCAUCGGCUCCGAUUUUCUACUUUUAUGAUGUUAUACCACAAGAUGGUUACUACUCUAUUGUUUCAAGGGAUUUUUAGAGUAAUUUAUCAUAUUUUUAUUUUUUCUUUAUUUGUUUAAUUCUAUCAUCAAGUAUAAGAGAAAAAAAGGUGAUUAUGUGAAGGAAAACAACCUAAACAGGCACAGUUAUAUAAGCUAUAAAAUCAGUCAACAAAAUUGACUUUUAGGGUUUCUUUUCAAAGUAAAAAGAAUUUGUUUAGAGAGAAUACUGGCACACAAAGCCCUCAAACAGAAUGCAUAGAACCAACACAUGCAUAUUUGACUAGUAAUUAAAUUUCUUAAAUUUUCAAAAAGAUAUGGAAUAUAUUCCUAUUUAGGAUGAAAAUAACUCCCAACCAAAUCGUAUUCAAAGCGAUAAUAAAAUAAAUUUGGACUCAUAACAAUUUUGAGAAGGAAUUAGCAACAAAAACAAUGCACGAAGAUUUAAAACAUCUUCAAUGAAAUGUUGUGAGGGAUGAAACAAUAAGUUGUUUUUGUGAAAAAAGUCGGUUGUUCACUAGUAGAAAAUAUGCAAUUAACGACACCAUACAAAGAGGAUUCUUAAAGAAAAGUCGUUAUAAGAGAGAAGGUGGCAGUUUCUGUAAAUAUUUUCAAAUUCUUAGUGGUCUUAACGACGGUUCAAGCAGGAACCGUCGUUAACCGUGUAAGACUGUGGAUAUAAAGAUGGUUCUAUACAAAACCGUCGUUAUUUGGCUGUUCAGGAAAAAAAAAGCGCGCUCCUUUCCCUCACUCUUCAUUCUCACAUUUUCGCACAACAUUCUCUCCUCACCAACAACCACUGCCAGUUGCGCCGCCUACUCCGACUGUGUCGCCAUGAGCAGCCGCCGCGAGCUUCGUCCCAGCUCCCAUCGCGAGCUCCAAUCCAACUCCCGUUGCGACUCUCCCUUGCUCCGUCAGCCUCCUCUGCCGCACCAGCCACCACAACCGCUAUGAAUCAAGUUCGGUCAGCUUCUGCAUCCGCGCGAGCCUCAUGCGUGUCGCACCGACCAGCUUCCUCCGCUGCACUAGCUCUCGCCACCACGUCCCACUCCUACUACCGCCACCAAGCAGGUUAGUUUUUAUUUAUUUAUUUAAUUAUUUUUAUAAUAAAUAUUUACUUUAUUAAAUUUAUAAUAAAUGUUUUCAUUUAUAUUUAUAUUUAUAGUAGUUAGUAUUCUAUUUUAUUUAAUUAAUUUUAUAAUAAAUAUUUGCAUGUAUGUGUUGAUUAGUAAUUAUUAGUAUAUGUAUGUAUUCAGCACGUUGAUUCUGAGUCCGGGGCUGUCUGACUCUUGACAUGUUUGAUUUAGUUAUAGGAUUGUAUUUAUUGAACAUGUUGAUUCUGAGCCCAAGGGUGUCCGACCCUUGACAUAUUUGAUUUAAUUAUAGUAUGUUAUUUAUUUAAGACAUUGAUUCUGAGUCCGACGGUGUCCGACCCUCAAGAAUUUUAAUUUAAUUAUAGAAUCUGUAUAUAUUGAACACGUUGAUUCUGAGUCUGGGGGUGUCCGUCCCUUGGCAAUUUUGAUUUAGAUUUUUUCAAUUUACCAGUUUUAUGGAUCGGAGUUGGAUUAGUACAUUAAGGAUAAGUGAUGCUUACGAAAAAGGGGUUGAAGAAUUCUUACAGUUUACACAACAUAUUGUCGUUAGUAAUCAAUACAAGUUGGACACUAAUGCUUCUGAGUUGGAAGGGUGUUAACUUCGAUGGGAACGAAUGACGUAUAUUUUCUUGCUUUUGCACAAACCAACAUGAAGUAUCUUAAUUCUUUGUCUUUUCCUCUCUUUGAACUUCUUUUUCUAAUUCCAAAACCUUUUCUAAUGGCAUAUUCUUUGUAGAAAGUUUUAACAACAUCGACAUUGUUAAAUGACAUGCCAACUGUAGGAACUAAUUCACUAACAUCAACAGCUAUGUUAUCAAAUUCUUGCGAAGGCUGACCGUCUUCAAACAAGGAAAUCUCAUCAGGAGAAAUAUUAUCCAUAUCUAUCCAGAGCUACAUUAUAUACAAAUUUGAUAUUGCAAAUUAAGACAUGUUAUUUGUUAACAAAUAUGUCCAAUUUUUUUUAUCAAAACUAGGGUUUUUUUGUGACUUUGGAACUAAAAUAUGUAAUAAGAUCCCACGAUAAUUGGUGCAAAAAAUAACAUAUCUAAGAGGUUUAACACAACUCAUAUGCAACCAUAGUUGAUACUGUCAUCACAUUUUACAGAUUAUUUUAAACAAACACAUUGUGCAAAAUUAUAGUUUUUGGAAAUAGAAUGACAAGUAGGGUUUUUUUUUUGCUCUACAAGUGAAAUGUCCAAAUAUUCCAUGAUUUGGCAUACAAAAUGAAUGUACAUGCAUGAACUCCAACCAAAAAAUGAAAACUUUAAUUAAAAUUCACUAACAUUGUGUAUACAAGUCUAAUAAAUGCAUCUUCAAAAUCAUAACAAAUGCAUGUGUAUUAAAUAUGUGCAAAACCUGUGGGUCCCACACUCAUUGGAAUACAUGGAAUGAAGGAAGUGGAUAGAGACUGAAUACAUUAAAAGUUGCGGGUUCCACCUUGAACAAGAGCGCAAAAAAAUAAAUUUUUGAUGCUGGAAAAUGCAAAAUGUUGGUGGGGGAGUGAAGAAUCAGGGUUGGUCUUUGUGAAUUCAGCAUAUGAAUGCUUAGGUAAGUAUGCCAAAGGUCUUCAACAUGACCACUUCAAAUGCUUGUGGAAGGUUAAAGUGCUUCCCAAUGUAAUCACCAUAGCGUGGAGGGUCUUUUUGGAUAGAAUCCCAACUAGAAUGUGCUUGAGUAGCACAGGGAUGGUGGUGAACAUUACUAUAUGUGCAAUGUGUCAGGCUAUGGAUGAAUCAAAUCAACAUCUAUUUUUAUAAUGCAAAUAUGCACAAUGUGUAUGGUCUUUUUGCUUCUUAUGGAUUGGUGUCUUGUUUGUUCAACACAAUGAAUUAAAUACCCACUUUGAGAACUUUCACCUGGUUCAGGCUAGUAGUAAACAAAAUUUGGUAUGGAAAGGUUUGUGGGCAGCUACAGUGAGGUGUAUGUGGGAACAAAGAAAUUAUGUUAUCUUUAAACAAGGGGUAAUAGAUGCGGAAGAGAUAUUUCUGAUGGCACAACUAAAAUCGUAGUUAUGGAUGAAACACCUUCCAGUACGACUAUCUUAUUACGAUUUCACUCUAAUCACUAGCACUCUUUCAACUACUCCUUCAUGGAUUGGGUUUUGAAUCCUCUUGAAUGCAUUAGAAGUUAUAAAUAAAUGAGAAAGGUUAGAGGAAGGAGAUCUAGGAGUUAGAUGUGUCAAUGGGAUGUCAUAGUAGUUGAAGGCCCUGCUGGUCGACUUUUUGUCUCUAGGCAUAAGGUUUUAUGAUCAAGACAAGGAGAUUCGUAUAAAUGAGGGAGUAAAAAAGUAAGGGUACUGGAAUUGUGUAGGAACUAGAAAAUAAAAGAUGUUGGAGGUGGGGCAGGGGCAACAUGUUGCUAUAUGUGGUGCAUGGUAUGUUCCUCAAGCGCACUCCCAAAUAUUCACUGGUUUGGUCAAAUGAGCAAUUUUGUCAUUAUCAAGGUUUUUAGUUCUCUCGAGGAAGUGAAGCUUGUGCAAACAUAUCAAAAAUUGUGACUGUGAGAGGCAACACGCAACAGAUGCUCACUUCAUGAGAAUAUGCUGCUAAUUGUUGUGGAUCUGUCAAUGUGGCCUUGUAGUGGAAAGAAAAUGAAACAGAACCAGGUCUAGUAAGGGAGAGGACUUUAAAAUUAUUGUCCAACAGUAAGGAGGAUACUAGAAAGCAUUGCAGGGGGACUUUUGAGUUGUUGUGGUCUUUCCUGCACAAGCCUACAUGGAGGUAUAGCAAAAGGGUGUAUGGCUGCUAUUAUGCAGGGGAUGCUAGCCCAAUUCUGCAGAUGCAAAUUCGGUGCAGGCCAUUGUGAUGCAGGGGAUGCUGGCCCAAUUAUGCAGGUGCAGAUUUGGUGCAGGCCAUUGCGAUGUUGUGUUAUGGCUUUGUGCUGAUUCGGUAUGUUUAUCUCUCCUGAUUUUGGUUAUGUGAUAGCUGUUGUAGAUGGUUUUGUAUUACAAAAUUUUUGGAGGAGUUGAAGCGUAUGGGUAGAAUUAUAUGGAUGGAUUUUAGGAUUGUUUUAUUAUGUUCUAAGCCUAUAGGUGGUGUGAACCACUUGUUUUUUAUAUACUGUUUGGAAUAUUACUGAAGUAUUUUUUAUUUAUUUUUGUUGAUUAAAAAACAUAAUAGUUAUUUCUAAUGAUUCUAUAAAUAUUAAAGAAUGGAAUUAACAUUUUAAAUUUUAUAAUAUCAAGUAAUUUUACAAUAUACUAUUUUUUUAUCUCUUUUAUUGAUUACUCACUUCUCCUAGAACCUACUCUUCUUACCAAGUACAUUCAUUAAGAGUAGUACUAAGAAAAUGUGACAUUGACUAUUAAAAGCUAAAUAAUUUAGAUUUCUUUUUUGUCUAAAACGUCAGUUAAAUGUGACAGAUUUAACUUUUCACUAAUUUAUUUAUUAUGAAAGUUGCAUUUUUGGCAAAAUUGGAAUGGAGGAGUUGAAAGUAAGGGGGUCCCAUAUGGUGGAUUUGAAAGGAACUAAUAAAGCUAUUACCUUCAAUUGUGGUUCACAAGUUGGCACUAAUAAUGUGUGAAAGUUGACAAGAGAGACAGUAAUGGAUGGAAAAAGAUAAUCAUGACAAAAAUUAGGCAUUCAAAAUGGUCCCAGUGUUAACGUUGAUAUUUUCUAUACAUUAAAAAAAAAUAACCAUUCAUGAUGCCACACACAUUCAUCCUUAAACACAAGCAUAUCCAUGGGGGAGCAGCGUGAGAAGCUUCACAUCAUGGUGUUUCCAUGGCUAGCAUUUGGUCACAUAGUCCCAUUUUUUGAACUUGCGAAACUCAUAGCUCAAAAGGGUCACAAAAUUUCUUUCAUUUCCACACCUAGAAAUAUCCAUCGUCUACCCAAAGUGCCUGAAAACUUGCAACCUUUGGUGGAUCUGAUAGAACUCCCACUGCCCCGUGUUGACAAACUCCCAGAAAAUGCAGAGGCCACUGUUGACAUUCCUCACCACAUCAUUCCAUACCUCAAGCUGGCUUUUGAUGGUCUUGAACAACCUUUGACCAAGUUUCUGGAGAGAUCCAAACCCCAUUGGAUAAUAUACGACUUUGCACCUUAUUGGUUGCCACCGAUAUCUUCUAAGCUAGGAAUCUCAUGCGUCUCAUUCUGUAUUUUUAGUGCAUCUGGUAUGUAUUCUUUUUCGGA
This 22480-nucleotide long non-coding RNA is filed under the name Phaseolus vulgaris (common bean). Its description in RNAcentral is "long non-coding RNA (PVUL_LNC000538)". The record is from RNAcentral. Lineage: Eukaryota; Viridiplantae; Streptophyta; Magnoliopsida; Fabales; Fabaceae.